This is a microRNA precursor of Oryza sativa Japonica Group (Japanese rice), 176 nucleotides long. It matches the Rfam family "MIR807 microRNA precursor family". The record is from Rfam. NCBI's taxonomy places the organism in Eukaryota, Viridiplantae, Streptophyta, Magnoliopsida, Poales, Poaceae.
AACCACACUAUCGAUGAAUGGAUUCACCCGUGAGAUGACGUGGUUGUUCCAUCUAGGAUGGGGACGUGGCAUCCUGUUAAUUUUGUGUGAUGGCUGGUAAUAGGAUGCCAUGUCCUUGUCCUAUGUGAAACAACCACAUCAUCUCGCGAGUGAAUCCAUUCAUCGAUAGUGUGGUU